RNAcentral lists this long non-coding RNA (584 nucleotides) under Homo sapiens (human). Its description in RNAcentral is "non-protein coding lnc-ATAD2B-13:1". Lineage: Eukaryota; Metazoa; Chordata; Mammalia; Primates; Hominidae. The record is from RNAcentral.
UCUUCCUGAGCCCCUCCGAGCCAAGGCCGGCCCAGCAGGCGCCUGUGCUUCUGUAGUCUCUUCUGCCCUGCCUGCCCGCUCUGGGUUUGGUGUAAUAGAAAGAGAUGUGGAUGAGGAGCCGGGCACUUGGGCCUGGGUGGCUCUGCCACUCCCUAGCACAGCACUGAGCAAGUCAUCCCCCGCUCCAGCAUCGGCUUCCUUUUCCGAGAAAUGGGAACACUUGCAUCUCCGCUACCUACGACACUGAGGUGUCAUGGGGAGAAAAAACCCUAGAUGGGGAAGGCCUUCGGAAGAGGAAGGCAUGCUGGUAAAAAAAACUCAUUCACAUGACAGAGCAACGCUGGUGGUGUUUAGGCAAGCUCCCGAAAGACGCAUGGAAUCUUCUCUUUACGAGGAUCUGGAUGUUGAUGGUGCUUACAGGUGUGUGGGUCCCUGCACCAGGAAGGCUAUGAUGGCAUGCACGGGAGUGAGCGCCACCAACAGCUGGGCACACCCGUGCAGGUCCACCCAGGCAGCGAUGUUGAGCCUGAGGAAAUGCGGCUGCCUUCAAACUUUGAUUAGAACCCCAGGGUCGGCUGCAGUCU